Molecule: ribosomal RNA, 223 nt
Filed under: uncultured bacterium
Lineage: Bacteria
Description: partial 16S ribosomal RNA
Rfam family: Bacterial small subunit ribosomal RNA
Source: RNAcentral
AGUAACAUAUUGGUAACCUACCUUGAAGUAGGGCAUAACGCUGAGAAAUCGGUGCUAAUACCCCAUGUACUCAACAGUCAUAUGACUGUUGUGUAAAGAUUUAUCGCUUCAAGAGGGGCCUAUAUCCCAUCAGCUUGUUGGUAGUGUAAAGGACUACCAAGGCUUCGACGGGUAGCGGGUGUGAGAGCACGACCCGCCUCAAUGGGACUGAGACACUGCCCAU